GAACUCUUAGAGUCAGUCUAUGGAGCUUGAGGCAGCCGAGGUCAUCCUGGCGCAUACCUACCUCUUACUGUCACUGGAUGCGCGCAAACUGAUCUGUGAGAGCCAUCAGAGGAAUGGACUGAGCAAGGCGCGCGUGCAAAUGACUGAAAACUUGUGGGACUGCAAGAUUCAGACUGCUUCGUACUGAAGCAGUAGCGAGGCAUGAAUACAGGAACAGAAUGCUCACUCUUCCUUGUACAAAGGCAAAAUGUG
Long non-coding RNA from Lepidothrix coronata (blue-crowned manakin), 252 nucleotides. RefSeq lists it as uncharacterized. NCBI's taxonomy places the organism in Eukaryota, Metazoa, Chordata, Aves, Passeriformes, Pipridae. The record is from RefSeq and is a predicted model, not a curated record. The transcript has 3 exons.